Long non-coding RNA from Marmota monax (woodchuck), 741 nucleotides. RefSeq lists it as uncharacterized. The transcript is spliced from 2 exons. The record is from RefSeq and is a predicted model, not a curated record. NCBI's taxonomy places the organism in Eukaryota, Metazoa, Chordata, Mammalia, Rodentia, Sciuridae.
CCCCUCCCCUGGCUCACAGCCGGCCAUCUCUUCCCCACUCCCCAGCACAGUGUGAGAGGCCAAGUUUCUGGCUUCCCUUCUGCAGAGGGCAGUGAGUGGUGGCCUCUCUCCUCUCCUCAGGUGGCCUUGCGCCUCCAUCCCGGCCUCCAUAUCCCCCUCUGGCCUCCUACCUUCCCUGAUGGGGCUCCCUCACCGCCUCCCGGGCUCUGUCCCUGCCUUCCUUUCUCUCCCCUCCGUCUCUCUGUCACUCUCUCCCCAUCCCGGCCACCAGAAGGUGCUGACAGCUGCUCCUCUGGAGGCGUGAAGACAGAGCUGGCAGCCGAGACGCUGUGGAGGUGCCCAGCCAGGAGCCAGGAGCCCAGGCGGGGCUGCUCGGCACUGGGGACGGGGAUGGCAUGUCCUUGAAGGGAGAGGAGCCCUGCAGAGCAGCGGAAGAAGAGAGGCAGAGCUGCCAGGAGGAGCUGCGUGGCCAGGGACCGUUUGUCCUCAGAGGGGACCGAGGUCUCUGGGGAGUCGAGAGCAGUGGAUGUCACCGUCGAUGGUCCGUCAGGACAGGUUUGCUUGGAGCUCUCGGCACUUGGAACCCCGAGUUUUAAGGACGUCAGAGGAGAAGUGGCAACAGCUGUCAGGCAGAUGUGGUGGCCCACGUCUACGGGGACUCGGGCACCUGACUAACGCUGUCAAUGCUUCGGGUUUCUUCUCAGAAAAAUGGCAAAAUAAAAGCCUCUCCAACCUCCUGCA